Molecule: long non-coding RNA, 224 nt
Filed under: Gossypium barbadense (sea-island cotton)
Lineage: Eukaryota; Viridiplantae; Streptophyta; Magnoliopsida; Malvales; Malvaceae
Description: long non-coding RNA (GBAR_LNC011419)
Source: RNAcentral
UGCACCCCAAGGUGAAAAACUUGGUCGAGCGAAACCUCUAUCCGUCAGUUCUUGCAACUGAGCUUUCAACUCCUUUAACUCGGUUGGUGCCAUACGAUACGGAGCUAUCGAAAUCGGCGUAGUCUCAGGUACAAGCUCAAUACCAAACUCUACCUCCCGAACAGGUGGUAAACCCGGUAAUUCUUCCGGAAAAACAUCCGGGUAUUCACAAGCCACCAGCACAG